RNAcentral lists this unclassified non-coding RNA (943 nucleotides) under Yarrowia lipolytica. The record is from RNAcentral. Lineage: Eukaryota; Fungi; Ascomycota; Dipodascomycetes; Dipodascales.
CAAUGUUGGCAAUAAUGCGGCAUUUUCAGCAACACCAGUUUCCCGCCACAACCUGUGAACCCGCGAUGCCGACACUCUCGUGAGCUCACAGCCAGCUCGGACUCACCGCAACAGUUGCCGCGACUCUGCUUUUGAGGAGUUUUGACUGUCCAUCUGUCUAGGGGACAAACACGGCGCCACGCCCCCUCCGGCUGACUUGACCCUAACUAAAACCGAAAAUUUACCCAGCAGCUCACAGGCGUGUCACCAGAGGGCAAUGCCGGGCGACACAGACGGGUCUGGCGUGGGCGUGCGACCAGUCUGUUGGUUGUGCGGUGGUUUUUUCCCCAUUUGCGGCAUUUCCCACAGGCCCAUUUUGGGACCCCUACAAUUUUGUGACCCCCUCACCUCCUCCCCGACCCACUAUGGUUGCCUUUCGCUCCCUUUUUUUCGCCACCCAAAAUUUUGCCCCAACUUGCUUUGCAAGAGUCAUUUUAAGCUUUGGGGUGCCAUUUCGGGACAAUUUUACUCCUGUUUUCUCUCUUACACUGCAGCAUGUUGUGGGCACCUGUCUUCACAUUCCUUAACCAUCGACUGCUGCUAAUGCGACAAAUUUUUCUCUACACUUCUACGUCUCACUGUGUCGUUCCACUUUCGACCGCCAUCUUCCCCCGCCGUCGCUUGUUGUUGCGUUGAACAAGGUGAUAUCUCUGAGAGUCCCUCUUCGCACAGGGACAUACUAGCCUUGUAGACUCAAGGUGUGCGCCCAGCAGUCUAGCCGUAGCUCCCCUUCUCUCGUCACUCUUGCCACCGUGUCCCUAUAGCCUUGCUUGUAUAUUUAGACAAAAGCAGUAGUGUGCCCUAGCCCAAACCUUAACUUGCGUUUGUGCUGGGAAGAAUGCUAACCGUGGCAAAGUACUUAAGCCCUCGGGCUCCCAAAAUUUCAAAAUUCCUUUCAUCGGAC